AUUGAACGCUGGCGGCAGGCCUAAUACAUGCAAGUCGAGCGAACGGACGAGAAGCUUGCUUCUCUGAUGUUAGCGGCGGACGGGUGAGUAACACGUGGAUAACCUACCUAUAAGACUGGGAUAACUUCGGGAAACCGGAGCUAAUACCGGAUAAUAUUUUGAACCGCAUGGUUCAAAAGUGAAAGACGGUCUUGCUGUCACUUAUAGAUGGAUCCGCGCUGCAUUAGCUAGUUGGUAAGGUAACGGCUUACCAAGGCAACGAUGCAUAGCCGACCUGAGAGGGUGAUCGGCCACACUGGAACUGAGACACGGUCCAGACUCCUACGGGAGGCAGCAGUAGGGAAUCUUCCGCAAUGGGCGAAAGCCUGACGGAGCAACGCCGCGUGAGUGAUGAAGGUCUUCGGAUCGUAAAACUCUGUUAUUAGGGAAGAACAUAUGUGUAAGUAACUGUGCACAUCUUGACGGUACCUAAUCAGAAAGCCACGGCUAACUACGUG
Molecule: ribosomal RNA, 497 nt
Filed under: uncultured bacterium
Lineage: Bacteria
Description: partial 16S ribosomal RNA
Rfam family: Bacterial small subunit ribosomal RNA
Source: RNAcentral